Molecule: ribosomal RNA, 497 nt
Filed under: uncultured bacterium
Lineage: Bacteria
Description: partial 16S ribosomal RNA
Rfam family: Bacterial small subunit ribosomal RNA
Source: RNAcentral
GAUGAACGCUGGCGGCGUGCCUAAUACAUGCAAGUCGAGCGAACAGAUGAGGAGCUUGCGCCUCUGACGUUAGCGGCGGACGGGUGAGUCACACGUGGAUAACCUACCUAUAAGACUGGGAUAACUUCGGGAAACCGGCGCUAAUACCGGAUAAUAUAUUGAACCGCAUGGUGCAAUAGUGAAAGACGGCUUUGCUGUCUCUUAUAGAGGGAUCCGCGCCGCAUUAGCUAGUUGGUAAGGUAACGGCUUACCAAGGCAACGAUGCGUAGACGACGUGAGAGGGUGAUCGGCCACACUGGAACUGAGCCACGGUCCAGACUCCUACGAGAGGCAGCAGUAGGGAAUCUUCCGCAAUGGGCGAAAGCCUGACGGAGCAACGCCGCGUGAGUGAUGAAGGUCUUCGGAUCGUAAAACUCUGUUAUUAGGGAAGAACAAAUGUGUAAGUAACUAUGCACGUCUUGACGGUACCUAAUCAGAAAGCCACGGCUAACUACGUG